RNAcentral lists this unclassified non-coding RNA (226 nucleotides) under plant metagenome. RNAcentral describes it as "partial contains small subunit ribosomal RNA and internal transcribed spacer 1". The stretch from base 1 to 46 matches the Rfam family "Eukaryotic small subunit ribosomal RNA", at positions 1786 to 1831 of the family's 1831-position model. The record is from RNAcentral.
AAGUCGUAACAAGGUUUCCGUGGGUGAACCUGCGGAAGGAUCAUUACAAGUGAGGCUACCGAACGCUGGAAACAGCGGUUAGGAGCUUACACCCACCCGUGUUUACAUACUAUUGUUGCUUUGGCGGGCCGUGGCCUCCACUGACGGCUCUGCUGCGUGUGUGCCGCCAGACGGCACCAAAGCUCAUGAAUGUUAGUGAUGUCUGAGUACUAUCUAAUAGUUAAAA